GGCCGGGGCUCCCCGCUCCCCAGGGCGUGCGAGGCACGGGGGUACCGGGGAGAAGCGGUGCCUGGCGAGUACCUGUGAGCCCCUGUGGCUCUUCCACUGCUUCAGCUGGUCCGCAGCUUCGUCCCGCCCGUCGGCCAUUUUGCAGUCACUGGAGACCCCCGAGGCAGCAAGAGCGGCGCGAAGCGGCGGGGCUCUUCGCUUCCGGCGAGGAGGCAGCGGCGAGGAGCUGAGGCCGUGGGCCGGUCACGCUGUCACCCCGUGGGGACCCCGCGCCGUCACCGCGUCCCGUCCGCAGCAGCCGCGGGUAGCGGGAGACUCCGCCAGUACAGCUCCGCUCUCGGCUUGAGCCCGCCCCCCGCUACCUUCUUGACCAAUAGGAUCGCGGUCAGCCGCCAUUGUGUGUUUUGAUUGGCCUAAGGGCGCGUCAAUUAGGCGCGAAGGCCCCGCCCACUCUUCACGCUGAGGGGACAGAGGCCAGCGGCGCCGUCGCGUUCCUUUGAAAUUGCAAGGAACUUCGCCAAUAUGGAGUUGCGAAAGGGAUUUUUCAGCUAUAUAGUUAUAGUUUUCAGCUAUAAAGUGUUGAGAUACUGGAACUUUCUAAAGCUGAUGAUGAUGGAGAUGUUGUUCAAUGACAGACGAAGUUACAGUACCUCGGGAACCUUUUGCACUCAUCCUUCUGCUGUCAUGCCUGGUGUAAACAUCAGGGCACAGAAAAAGCAUGGAAAGAGCAACAAAGAAUAACAACAUGCCAGAGGAUUGAGGGCUGGCAAUUACACAGC
RNAcentral lists this long non-coding RNA (779 nucleotides) under Cyanistes caeruleus (blue tit). RNAcentral describes it as "lncRNA (ENSCCEG00000007282.1)". The record is from RNAcentral. Lineage: Eukaryota; Metazoa; Chordata; Aves; Passeriformes; Paridae.